RNAcentral lists this long non-coding RNA (757 nucleotides) under Lactuca sativa (garden lettuce). Its description in RNAcentral is "long non-coding RNA (LSAT_LNC007605)". Lineage: Eukaryota; Viridiplantae; Streptophyta; Magnoliopsida; Asterales; Asteraceae. The record is from RNAcentral.
AGACGUGUAACACACUAAUUUCCACAUCCCUCUUCCAUAUAUUUCCUUCUGUAGUAAACAAGUGAAAAUGGCUCCAAGAGCUUUCCUUUUUCUUGCUCUAGCUUUUGCGGUUGUCCUUCUCAUUACCUCUGAAAUGGUUGCAGCUAAGGAGUUGGCUGCAGGUGAGAUUAACGAUAGUGGACGUGGUGGAUACAGCGGCGGUGGUGGCCGCGGAGGGCAUGACAAUGGCGGUGGCCGCGGAGGAAAUGACAAUGGUGGACGUGGAGGACAUGACAAUGGUGGUGGACGUGGAGGGAAUGACAAUGGCGGUGGUCGCGGAGGGCAUGACAAUGGCGGUGGCCGCGGAGGAAAUGACAAUGGUGGACGUGGAGGACAUGACAAUGGCGGUGGACGAGGAGGGAACAACAAUGGUGGAGGAAACAGAGGUUGCAGGUAUGGCUGCUGUGGUGGUGGACGUUCCUACGGAAGAGGAGGGUGCAGGUGUUGCAGCACAUUUGCAGAGGCGACUACUUACAAACAAACUCAAAACUAAGCACCGAGAAAGAACCAUCUUUUGAGUCAUGUACUAAAAAGACGUUUUACAAAGCAAUUAUGCAUUACGUAUUGUUUAUAUGUGAAAUAAUUAGCAAGACUUCUUUCGAUGGAAGUAUGCACUUAAUAUGUAUCGUAAAAUAAUAGAUCUUGUAACUCUCUAUGUCCAAAUAUAUGCCUUUUCAAUACCUGGUCGCAUUUCCGUCGACAUCACGAAUAUAUAUAU